ACACAUGCAAGUCGAACGGAGCUUAGAGAGCUUGCUUUUUAAGCUUAGUGGCGAACGGGUGAGUAACGCGUGAGUAACCUGCCCUAGAGUGGGGGACAACAGUUGGAAACGACUGCUAAUACCGCAUAAGCCCACGGUACCGCAUGGUACUGAGGGAAAAGGAUUUAUUCGCUUUAGGAUGGACUCGCGUCCAAUUAGCUAGUUGGUGAGGUAACGGCCCACCAAGGCGACGAUUGGUAGCCGGACUGAGAGGUUGAACGGCCACAUUGGGACUGAGACACGGCCCAGACUCCUACGGGAGGCAGCAGUGGGGGAUAUUGCACAAUGGGGGGAACCCUGAUGCAGCGACGCCGCGUGGAGGAAGAAGGUUUUCGGAUUGUAAACUCCUGUCGUUAGGGACGAUAAUGACGGUACCUAACAAGAAAGCACCGGCUAACUACGUGCCAGCAGCCGCGGUAAAACGUAGGGUGCAAGCGUUGUCCGGAAUUACUGGGUGUAAAGGGAGCGCAGGCGGGAAGACAAGUUGGAAGUGAAAACCAUGGGCUCAACCCAUGAAUUGCUUUCAAAACUGUUUUUCUUGAGUAGUGCAGAGGUAGAUGGAAUUCCCGGUGUAGCGGUGGAAUGCGUAGAUAUCGGGAGGAACACCAGUGGCGAAGGCGGUCUACUGGGCACCAACUGACGCUGAGGCUCGAAAGCAUGGGUAGCAAACAGGAUUAGAUACCCUGGUAGUCCAUGCCGUAAACGAUGAUUACUAGGUGUUGGGGGAUUGACCCCCUCAGUGCCGCAGUUAACACAAUAAGUAAUCCACCUGGGGAGUACGACCGCAAGGUUGAAACUCAAAGGAAUUGACGGGGGCCCGCACAAGCAGUGGAGUAUGUGGUUUAAUUCGAAGCAACGCGAA
Molecule: ribosomal RNA, 901 nt
Filed under: uncultured bacterium
Lineage: Bacteria
Description: bacterial SSU rRNA
Rfam family: Bacterial small subunit ribosomal RNA
Source: RNAcentral